GACGAACGCUGGCGGCGUGCUUAACACAUGCAAGUCGAACGAUGAAGCUGGAGCUUGCUCCGGUGGAUUAGUGGCGAACGGGCGAGUAACACGUGAGCAAUCUGCCCUUGACUCUGGGAUAACUGCGGGGAACUGUAGCUAAUACCGGAUACUUUCACUGGAAGGCAUCUGCUGGUGAAGAAAGAAUUUCGGGAAAGGCUGAGCUCGCGGCCUAUCAGCUUGUUGGUGAGGUAACGGCUCACCAAGGCGACGACGGGUAGCCGGCCUGAGAGGGUAACCGGCCACACUGGGACUGAGACACGGCCCAGACUCCUACGGGAGGCAGCAGUGGGGAAUAUUGCACAAUGGGCGCAAGCCUGAUGCAGCAACGCCGCGUGAGGGAUGAAGGCCUUCGGGUUGUAAACCUCUUUUAGCAGGGAAGAAGCGAAAGUGACGGUACCUGCAGAAAAAGCACCGGCUAACUACGUGCCAGCCGCCGCGGUAA
Molecule: ribosomal RNA, 484 nt
Filed under: uncultured bacterium
Lineage: Bacteria
Description: partial 16S ribosomal RNA
Rfam family: Bacterial small subunit ribosomal RNA
Source: RNAcentral